CCUACGGGGUGCAGCAGUCGAGAAUCAUUCACAAUGGGGGAAACCCUGAUGGUGCGACGCCGCGUGGGGGAAUGAAGGUCCUCGGAUUGUAAACCCCUGUCAUGUGGGAGCAAAUUAAAAAGAUAGUACCACAAGAGGACGAGACGGCUAACUCUGUGCCAGCAGCCGCGGUAAUACAGAGGUCUCAAGCGUUGUUCGGAAUCACUGGGCGUAAAGCGUGCGUAGGCUGUUUCGUAAGUCGUGUGUGAAAGGCGCGGGCUCAACCCGCGGACGGCACCUGAUACGGCGAGACUAGAGUAAUGGAGGGGGAACCGGAAUGCUCGGUGUAGCAGUGAAAUGCGUAGAUAUCGAGAGGAACACUCGUGGCGAAGGCGGGUUACUGGACAUUAACUGACGCUGAGGCACGAAGGCCAGGGGAGCGAAAGGGAUUAGAUACCCCAGUAGUC
This 446-nucleotide ribosomal RNA is filed under the name uncultured bacterium. Its description in RNAcentral is "partial 16S ribosomal RNA". It matches the Rfam family "Bacterial small subunit ribosomal RNA", at positions 338 to 795 of the family's 1533-position model. The record is from RNAcentral.